GUUAAACGCUGGCGGCAUGCCUUACACAUGCAAGUCGAACGGCAGCACGGGGGCAACCCUGGUGGCGAGUGGCGGACGGGUGAGUAAAGCAUCGGAACGUAUCCUGGAGUGGGGGAUAACGUAGCGAAAGUUACGCUAAUACCGCAUAUUCUGUGAGCAGGAAAGCAGGGGAUCGCAAGACCUUGCGCUCUGGGAGCGGCCGAUGUCGGAUUAGCUAGUUGGUGGGGUAAAGGCCUACCAAGGCGACGAUCCGUAGCGGGUCUGAGAGGAUGAUCCGCCACACUGGGACUGAGACACGGCCCAGACUCCUACGGGAGGCAGCAGUGGGGGAAUUUUUGGACAAUGGGCGCAAGCCUGAUCCAGCCAUGCCGCGUGAGUGAAGAAGGCCUCGGUUGUAAG
This 399-nucleotide ribosomal RNA is filed under the name uncultured bacterium. RNAcentral describes it as "bacterial SSU rRNA". It matches the Rfam family "Bacterial small subunit ribosomal RNA", at positions 28 to 429 of the family's 1533-position model. The record is from RNAcentral.